Molecule: ribosomal RNA, 253 nt
Filed under: uncultured bacterium
Lineage: Bacteria
Description: partial 16S ribosomal RNA
Rfam family: Bacterial small subunit ribosomal RNA
Source: RNAcentral
UACGUAGGGUGCAAGCGUUGUCCGGAAUUAUUGGGCGUAAAGAGCUCGUAGGCGGUUCGUCGCGUCGGCUGUGAAAACCCGGAGCUCAACUCCGGGCCUGCAGUCGAUACGGGCGGACUGGAGUUCGGCAGGGGAGACUGGAAUUCCCGGUGUAGCGGUGAAAUGCGCAGAUAUCGGGAAGAACACCCGUGGCGAAGGCGGCACUCUGGGACGGUACUGACGCUGAGACGCGAAAGCGUGGGGAGCGAACAGG